UGCAACAACUCUUUUAGCUAUUGCAAUGGAGGCUAGUUUAUUAAUUAAAAAAUUGCGAGAAAACCCUAUCUUAGGCAAGCACCAAAAUUGAAGCCUCCCUUUCGGCCUUUCCCACUCACAUAACCCCAUUGCUCCCACUCGCCACUCCCGUUGUGAAGCUCCAGCACCUCGCCGCUCGCUGCUAACUCGAUAUGAUUAAAUCGUUUUGUUUGAAGUUAAGUUGACGAACGUCGAUUGCGGCUAACCCUAUAAAUUUUCAAUGAAUAAAAUUGAAUCUCAACCUUCGAAUAUUACGAGGGUGAAUUAAGUGUUAUCCCAGACUAGGAACAAAACAAAGCUAAAAACUCAAGUGCCCUAACCAGAAAAUCAAGUCAAUCAAUUCAGACCUUCAGAACUUGCAAGGCAAUAUUAUCAAUGUUUGGAGAGAUGUACAACAUUCAGCCAAUAUUGAUACAGAGUGUCUCUACAGAUUUCUACAUAUCUAACGAAAACUCAGGUAUCCGAAAUUUGGUACAAGCUGGAUGUGGAUGUAGUCAUUUAGACUCAUGCCCCUUAUCGUUGAGAGCAAUCUUGUGUACACAAGUAAACACAGAAUUCUAUCCCCCGACUUGACAAAAAGGCUGGCAGACAGAAACCUCGCAACCAACUCUCGGGUGAUACGCCUUGAAAAAGGGUGAUUGUGCUACUGUCAAGGCAAUUAGGCGUGCUGCAUAGAGGUGGUGAUUAUAUUGGCAUUACAUUUCUGCUGUACAUUUGAAUCCCAAGAAUUUUGAAUCCAAUUUGCGAGCUCAGAGUUCACAUUGCCAUUUUCUCUUACGGGAGAUUGAUCGGUAACUAUGGAUGAAUUUAUGGUUUGCAAAUCUAUAACUGCACCAUCUACUACUAUGCCUGGGAUGGUUUUGAGAAAAGAAGAAGAGGAUUUUAUGUUAAAUAUCAACUACUUUGAGAGAUUAAGAUUUAACAUCAUUUUCAGAAUUGGAAUACGUUGGUAAUGUUGGAGCGUUGGUCAUUGCGUUUUAAUGAGAUUGGAGAACAAGACUCCUCAAGGUACAUGAUGAACUACAUGGUGUAGCCGUGUAGAGGAGGAAGAAUGUUAUGAUUAUUGAAAUGCCAUUUUUAGUGGAGGAUCAGACUCAAAAGUUGGUGUUUAAAUUAUGUAGUGAUCUUUAUUUUAUAGGUUGAAUAUUUAGGUGAUUACUUAGGUUCUAUAUAUCAUAGGUUAGGCUUAUUUUGGCGAAGCUUUGUUUGCAAGAUCGUACAACAAUGUAAAUUAACUAUAGAUAUUUUAUAUAAUGAGAAUAUUUUUUUUAUUUUUA
This is a long non-coding RNA of Spinacia oleracea (spinach), 1316 nucleotides long. RefSeq lists it as uncharacterized. The transcript has 9 exons. Lineage: Eukaryota; Viridiplantae; Streptophyta; Magnoliopsida; Caryophyllales; Amaranthaceae. The record is from RefSeq and is a predicted model, not a curated record.